GGAGAAAUGGCAGAGUGGUCGAAUGCACUGGUCUUGAAAACCAGCGUACCGAGAGGUACCGGGGGUUCGAAUCCCUCUUUCUCCGC
RNAcentral lists this transfer RNA (86 nucleotides) under uncultured Cryomorphaceae bacterium. Its description in RNAcentral is "tRNA-Ser(tga)". It matches the Rfam family "tRNA". Rfam says of the family: Transfer RNA (tRNA) molecules are approximately 80 nucleotides in length. Their secondary structure includes four short double-helical elements and three loops (D, anti-codon, and T loops). Lineage: Bacteria; Pseudomonadati; Bacteroidota; Flavobacteriia; Flavobacteriales; Cryomorphaceae. The record is from RNAcentral.